AUGUNAUCNGUACGAGCGCACCCCUAUCCUUAUUUGCCAGCGCGUAAUGGCGGGGACUAUAAGGAGACUGCCGGUCAUAAACCGGAGGAAGGCGGGGACGACGUCAAGUCAUCAUGGCCCUUAUGGGUAGGGCUACACACGUGCUACAAUGGGUGGUACAGAGGGUCGCCAAAGCGCGAGCUGGAGCCAAACCCUUAAAACCAUUCGUAGUCCGGAUUGGAGUCUGCAACUCGACUCCAUGAAGUCGGAAUCGCUAGUAAUCGCGAAUCAGAAUGUCGCGGUGAAUACGUUCUCGGGCCUUGUACACACCGCCCGUCACAUCAUGGAAGUGGGUUGCACCAGAAGUGGUUAGUCUAACCUUCGGGAAGACGAUCACCACGGUGUGAUUCAUGACUGGGAUGAAGUCGUAACAAGGUAGCCCUAGGGGAACCUGGGGCUGGAUCACCUCCUU
Molecule: ribosomal RNA, 451 nt
Filed under: uncultured marine bacterium 311
Lineage: Bacteria
Description: bacterial SSU rRNA
Rfam family: Bacterial small subunit ribosomal RNA
Source: RNAcentral